AAAAUUUCUCGGCCUUUUGGCUAGGAUCAAGUGUACUAUCUGUUCUUAUCCGAUCUUACCUGCUCUUUUCAUCUAAUGCCUCAAUAUCU
This 89-nucleotide small nuclear RNA is filed under the name Podarcis muralis (Common wall lizard). RNAcentral describes it as "U2 spliceosomal RNA (ENSPMRG00000017532.1)". The stretch from base 1 to 77 matches the Rfam family "U2 spliceosomal RNA". Rfam says of the family: U2 is a small nuclear RNA (snRNA) component of the spliceosome (involved in pre-mRNA splicing). Complementary binding between U2 snRNA (in an area lying towards the 5' end but 3' to hairpin I) and the branchpoint sequence (BPS) of the intron results the bulging out of an unpaired adenosine, on the BPS, which initiates a nucleophilic attack at the intronic 5' splice site, thus starting the first of two transesterification reactions that mediate splicing. Lineage: Eukaryota; Metazoa; Chordata; Lepidosauria; Squamata; Lacertidae. The record is from RNAcentral.